AAGGGCACCACAAGAACGCGUGGAGCAUGUGGCUUAAUUUGACUCAACGCGGGAAAUCUUACCGGGUCCGGACACACUGAGGAUUGACAGAUAUACGCUGCGUUGCUGCACCUUCGGGUGUGCACGUGGCUCAAAGAUGCUAGUUCUUUCAUGAUUAUGUGAUAGGUGGUGCAUGGCCGUUCUUAGUUCGUGGAGUGAUCUGUCUGCUUAAUUGCGUAUCAAUAAUAGAGACCUAGUAUACGCGUAUUACUCAUGUGGUAGUGACCCCCUUCUCACGGAGGCGCGUGUCGCACAUAUGGUAUACGCACUGGUCUCAGAUAGCAACGAACGUGACCG
RNAcentral lists this ribosomal RNA (336 nucleotides) under Ammonia inflata. Its description in RNAcentral is "SSU rRNA". It matches the Rfam family "Eukaryotic small subunit ribosomal RNA", at positions 1160 to 1343 of the family's 1831-position model. The record is from RNAcentral. Lineage: Eukaryota; Foraminifera; Rotaliida; Rotaliidae.